Pygocentrus nattereri (red-bellied piranha) is the source of this 2301-nucleotide long non-coding RNA. Lineage: Eukaryota; Metazoa; Chordata; Actinopteri; Characiformes; Serrasalmidae. The record is from Ensembl.
AUGAAGAUUCUUCAGUUCAAGAUGAAGAUGAUCAUCUCCACCCUCUACCUGAUCUCAGGCCCAGUGUGCUGCUCUGAUGUGCUUGUCUACUCAGGAGGAAGUGUCAUUUUAUUCCCUAAUCUACAGUGGGAUGUAAACCAUGCACGAUAUAUUUGCAAGAUGGAGCAAAAUAGCUGCCUAGAAAUCAUAAAGGAUCAGAGUAAGAGCAAGUCUGUCACUAGCGGGAGGUUCACGAUCUAUUCAAAUACAGCAGGCAACUUUACAGUGUUGAUCAGAGAGCUGCACCCACAGGACUCUGCCGUCUACAGAUUUGGAGUUGGGAACGAAAAGCAUAAGGACGUUGAGCUGACCAUUCAGAGUGAUUCUUGUUGUGGGGGAAUUAAAAGAAUGAAAGCUUAUCUGGGAGAGACGGCCACCUUCAAAUGCAACUAUCCAGAUGAGUUCAAGACAAACAACAAGUACUUAAUCAACCUCAAUAAUCAAACUACUGUUAAAGAGAUAAUUUACACUGGAAAAGAGGCUCAGAAAGAGCAGAAAGACAGAUUCUCCAUCUUUGAUGACAGAAGCUCUAAAGUCGUCAGUGUGAACAUCAGUGAUGUGAGAGAAGAUGAUGGAGGAGUUUAUCUGUGUGGAGUGUGGAAGAAGGACACAUUAGUGGGUUAUUACUCCUACUUCAAAGAGAUUCAGCUCCAAGUGACUGAAAAAUCAACUGCGCUACCAGAAAGUCCAAGCACAACUGUGGAUCGGACUACAGCUACAACCUACUGGACCACAUCAACAGCAGCACUGCCAGCAGCAGAAACAUCUGCUCAACAUCUCCGUAAGAACGCAGUCCUUAUUCAUAUCUCCUUCUUCUAUUCUAUCCAUCCAUCCAUCCAUCCAUUUUCUAAGCCGCUUCUCCGUCAGGGUCGCGGGGGGGGAGCUGGAGCCUAUCCCAGCAGUCUUCGGGCGGAAGGCAGGAAACACCCUGGACAGGUCGCCAGUCCAUCGCAGGUCUUUUAUUCUAUUUUAUGUUAAAUGUAUUCAGGCAGGAGUUCAGUGGUUUAGGCUCCACACCAGGAACUGAAACUGAUGUGGAGCUGGAGGGUUCUUGUUUUGCUGGCUGUCUUGAUGCUGUGGGUUUUAAAACCCUUACCAUGCAAAAAGACAUCCUGAGGUCUUCAAACCAAGCAGAAACUGAUCAGUGGCACUACUGUAUACUGACCCUCCUGUGACUAGAGUGUGUUAGACCCAAAAGCUUAAGUCAUACAUGUGUGUGAUUAAUGUAAGGACAUUCUAAAUCGACUAAUCCUGAGUCUCUGAGUCUCUCAUCUCCAGGUUCCUCUGUCAUCAUCACUGUAUUUGUCUGUGUGGCUCUGUUGCUGAUUGGAGGAUCAGCACUGAUCGUCCACAAACUGAGGAACCACAUGAUACAGGGUAUGCAAAUUACAGUUUUACAUGGUGUCCUUUAGUCCCCCAUUCCAAAACUAAUGCUGAAGUCUCCCUCUAGAGGACAAAGAUGAAUACACACAAAUAUCUGUAUGACUGAUGUUUGGAUUUGAUCUAUUGUCACAGUCUCAGCCUUGACUGGCCAGAGAACAGACAAAAAUAAAGUGAGUUAAAUCUGUUGCUCAAUUAAGGCAAAAAAAUUUCUGUCAGAAGUGUCUUUUCUGCAUCUCAGCAUAAAAUUCACUGUAUGUGAGCAGCAGACCGUUUAGUUGUAUUAAGUGCCCUCAUCUGAUUUCAGGAUGAUGAUGAUGAUGAUGAUUAUGAAAACGUUCCACAUGGAAAGCGAUACGACAUCAGCAUGAUUCCAGUCCACCAGAGCCUAAACCCCAACAGAUCAGAUUUAGUCUAUGAGAACCCUGAUCCAAACACCAACCAAUCAGAUUCUGACUAUGAGAACAUAGCUGAGAACACCAACCAAUCGGAUUUCAUUUAUGAGAAUGUGAACAUCAAUAGCAGUGGAUGAGGGUAUUUCACAAAGCAGGGGUUCUCAGCUACAACAUAAGAACCAGUGAUAACUGCCCAUUAGAAAUGUUCUCUUCUCAUAUUGGUCAAAACUAGACUUUUGGUUCGAGUUGUCUGAGAAAUUUACCAAAGACCUUCAAAUUCAGGUCAAUUUGAACUUUCAGUAGUCUCAGUUUUCUCCCAGCCUUAUCAUAAAAAUAAAUGUGUGUGUUUGUUUUUUGGUUUAAUGGCCUGUUUUUAUCCAGUGUAACUGUACUUGUCUAAGAUUGCCACAAAGAGAAAGAAAUCAGGAAUAAUUUAGCUGGAGUUAAAUACAUAUAACUGCAAAAUUGAGAAGCCUUAUUGCUUUAU